CUGCUCACUGCAGCAGCACACAUACUAAAACUGGAACGAUCCAGAGAAGAUGAACAGAGCCCAGCUCAAGAUGAUACACGUUUAUGAAUUAUUUUCCAUUUUUUC
Small nuclear RNA from Pteropus vampyrus (large flying fox), 105 nucleotides. Lineage: Eukaryota; Metazoa; Chordata; Mammalia; Chiroptera; Pteropodidae. The record is from Ensembl.